UCUUAGGAGAGGGCUGUGCUGUUUCGAGGCUCCAGAGCCCAGUCAGGGUCUGCGCUCUCCACCUUCGCGCUCUGGGGGUCACCGGGCACCUAGGAACUGAGGACACGUCACGAUAUCAUUGGAGAAUUUACAACAAGCUACCGGGAACUUUCUGGAGGGCAGUCCCAAUUCAAUGUAUACGAGGUAACGUUACUCUCCUUCUUGGUAGAAACAGAAGUUUCUUUCCUUGACUACAUCAAGGGAGGGUACUUCCCUCUCCACUAAAUGUUUCAAAAUCUGACCGAGGUCAUCAGCUGAGUUGCUGGCACUCAAACUGGUUCUUUCAGACUCAAAAGCUGUGUGCUUGCUAAUACAUCACUCUACGCUAACUGACAGUUGCUUCUGUCUCAGCGGAAUGACUGGGCAGCUGCUGAUGGUGACUGUUCAUUCCAGUCCCUCCCGGGGCUUCUCUGAAGAUGUUCUCCCAGAAGCCUCCCUGUGUUCAUUUCCUGAAAGUCUGUGCCCAUUUUGGUUCAUGCUGGUUAGUGUUGUGCUCCAACUUAGCCUAAAUUCUUAGCCUACAAACCUGAUUUCUGCUCUGAGAAAAAGUACCAUAUUACUAUAAAGGGAAUUUAUGUUAGUUUUUGUUUAAUGGAAGCAUAAAUGUGUUGUUCAUUCCUUAGGAAAGAAAAAGUGAAUUUGAGAAUUGUAUGUAGGUCUUUUUCAGGCUAAAUUUUCAGAGAAAGGAGAUACUGCUAUACAUUUUACCAAGAGAACUACCAAGGAACAUCUUGCUGUAGUACUCAGAUUGUUGCCAUUUCAAUCCUGUCACCAUUGUCACCACCAUUAAUCCAGUAGUUCCGGUCCUUGAAGUGUUAAAUCAGUUGUGCAUUAUGUCUGAAGUAAGUUGUUGCCAAAAUGGAGUAGUCACACUUUCAAAUGAUCCACUUUUUACAAGAAAUUUAUUUUUUAGAGGGUGGGUGUGGGGAGCAAACCGGACUAGACUGUUACUGGAAUUAAGACUUAUUCUAUGCAUCUGCUCUCCCACAAUAUGGCGCUGGGAGAGAAGUAAACAGCUUCCGCACAGCUGCCUCCAGUUCAACUAAUAAACUGUAGGACUUGCUCCUGAUUGGAGGAGAGCAGCGUACUCGGCGUGUGGGCAGCCGAGUUGGGAUUGGCGGAGGAGGACUAUAAAGGAGGAGAGAGACGGCAUGCAUCAGGAACAUCUAUGGGGAACAUCUAAGGGAACCCGUGCAGCCCCCCAGAAAGCCGGCCGGCGGUGUGCCGCUCCCCUGCGGAAGUGGGGAAUGUGGCCAGGGGGAACUGCCCUUCCACGGAGGUGGAAGGGAUAGUAGCCAACCCAGGAAGAACCAGCAGCAAACCCGGGGAGGGCCGAGCAGACGAAAGAACAGCGCAGGGUCCUGUGUUGCUCCUCCACGAAGAGGGGGAGCGACAUAAUGGUGCCGUGACUCGGAUAGGAAACCUAGGAGGGAAGAAACGGGAAGAAGUGGAAAAUACCGGAGAGAGAGACUAGCAAAGAGCCUAGGGGAAAGCCGGAUGAGAAAGGUGCCGGCAGAAGCUAUUGAAAGCCUAGGCAUAGACUCGGAUACGGACUGUGGGAAAGAAGUUAGGAUUGAAAGCGAAAGUGAAAGCUUUCAUAGACUCGGAUGCGGACUAUGGCGGGGAAGCUAGGAGAUUGAAAGCGAAAGUGAAACCUGGAGGAGGCUUGGACUCGGAUAUGGACUGUGGGAAAGAAGUUAGGAUUUAAAGUGAAAGCAAGAAGAAACUUAGACUCAGAUACGGACUGCAGGUUGAAAGUGAAAGUGAAACCUAUAAGAAACUUAGACUUGGAUACGGACUGUGGGGAGAGGCCAGGAGAAAUGAGGGAGGAAUAUUGUUGGAAGAAAACUUAAGGAAACAUACCGGGUAGAGAAAAAUGUUAGGGAGGAUGAAGCCGCGAGUGCAGGCCGAGGCGGAGAUAUAAGCCACCUUGGAAUUCUUCAAGUCACCCCGGGGAGCAAGAGGCGAAGAUCUGGAACCAGAGGCAGAGACGUGGGCCGCCAGGAUUCGCCAGGUUAGUCCGGGGAACUUGGACUGAAUGCCGGUGGUGGCGGAAACAUUCGCGGAAGCCGCUGCGUGCAGAGAGAGCACGGGGCGUGAAUAGAUGGGCUGGCACGAGGCCGUGGUGCGGGCGCGAAGUGCGUGGAGACCGCGGAGCGUGCGCGCAGAGCCGGGAACCCGCCGGCGGGGCGAGGCGCCAGGAAGCCGCGCAGAACCGGGAACCCGCCGGCGGGGCGAGGCGCCAGGAAGCCGCGCAGAGCCGUGAAGCCGCCGCGGGGCGGGCGCCGGCGGGGCGAGGCGCCGGGAAGCCGCGCAAAGCCGUGAAGCUGCCGCAGGGCGAGGCGCCGGGAAGCUGCGCGGAGCCGUGAAGCUGCCGGCAGGGCGAGGUGCCGGGAAGCGGCGCAAAGCCGGGAAGCCACCGCGGGGCGGGCGCCGGCGGGGCGAGGCACCGGGAAGCCGCGCAGAGCCGUGAAGCUGCCGCGGGGCGAGGUGCCGAGAAGCAGCCUCGGGCGGGCGCCGGGAAGCUGCGGGGAUAAGAGAAACAGAAGUUUGGGAGUGGAGUGAGAGAAAUGGGAAUGUUGGCAGACAGAAGUAAAAUGGGAGAAAUAGGAAUGCCCGGAGAUAGAGAAAUAGAGAAAUAGAAAGGCCUCCCUACAACACUGCAAUGUGAAAGCUUGGAUUCGGUCUGCCUAAUUAAGGCGAUAAGCGCCAGCAAGCAGCUCGACCAGAGUAUGAGCUGCAGGUCACCGAAGAUAGGCACAAACCAACACUAAUAAGUCUCCCCCACAAUAUGGCAAUGAGAAGGCUUGGAUUUGGUUUGCCUGAUAGGGCUUGUAAGCCCCUGCAGGCAGAGCAGAGCAUGCGCUGCAGGGCACCGAACACAGGCACGCAUCAGCGCCUAAAAACCUCCUCACAACAUGGCGAAGAGAGGACCCGGAUUCGGUUUGCCUGAUUGAUAGGACUUGUAAGAACCUGUGGCAACUCUAGCAAGCAGAGCAGAGUGUGUGCCGCGGGACACCGAAGACAGGCGCGUAUCAACGCCAAAAAAUAAAAAGAAAGGGGGAUCUGUGGGGAGCAACUCGGACUAUACUGUUACUGGAAUUAAGACUUAUUCUAUGCAUCUGCUCUCCCUCUGUGGGGAGCAACCUGGACUAGACUAAGUUACUGGAAUUAAGACUUAUUCUAUGCAUCUGCUCUCCCACAAUAUGGCGCUGGGAGAGGAGAAAACAGCUUCUACACAGCUGCCUCCAGUUCAACCAAUUAACUGUAGGACUUGCUCCUGAUUGGAGAGCAGUGUACUCGGCGUGUGGGCAGCCGAGUUAGGAUUGGCGGAGGAGGACUAUAAAGGAGGAGAGAGACGGCAUGCACCGGGAACAUCUAUGGGGAACAUCUAAGGGAACCCGUGCAGCCCCCGAGAAAGCCGGCCGGCGGUGUGCCGCUCCCCUGCGGAAGUGGGGAAUGCGGCCAGGGGGAACUGCCCUUCCACGGAGGUGGAAGGGAUAGUAGCCAACCCGGGAAGAACCAGCAGCAAACCCGGGGAGGGCCGAGCAGACGAAAGAACAGCGCAGGGUCCUGUGUCGUUCCUCCACGAAGACGGGGAGCGACAGGUGGGUGUUUGGUCUGGCGAUGCCUAUAUUAGAGUUUGUGUUUCAAGUCCCAGCUCCUGAGCUUCAGAUCCAGUUCCUUUUUUAUUACACUCAGUUGUUGUGUCCCAAAAUGCAGCCUACUUUACUUUAUGAGAUUUCAUUUUUCAUCUUACAGGGAUAUGGUAUAAAGGUAAUUUUGCAAAGUUCUUACCUAGUAAAGCUGCCUGACUGUAUCCAGUGUUACUAUGACAUAUUUACUCAUAAGUUAGCAUUUCAGAAAAGAGUGACAUUAACAAACAUGAUACAAAUGGAAAGCAAACUGCUUUUUGGAGGCUGUUUGUUUAUUUAAUGAUUCUUGUUUACUUGUUUCUUUAAUUUAUUUUAUUUUUUUAUUUUUUAACUUAUAUUUAAUAAAUAUAAAUUUCCAAAGUACAACUUUUGGAUUAUAGCGACUUUCCCCUACCCAUAACCACCCUCCCACCCGCAACUAUCCCAUCUCCCAC
Molecule: non-coding RNA, 4129 nt
Organism: Oryctolagus cuniculus (rabbit)
Lineage: Eukaryota; Metazoa; Chordata; Mammalia; Lagomorpha; Leporidae
Source: RefSeq, a predicted model, not a curated record